RNAcentral lists this ribosomal RNA (292 nucleotides) under uncultured bacterium. RNAcentral describes it as "partial 16S ribosomal RNA". It matches the Rfam family "Archaeal small subunit ribosomal RNA", at positions 455 to 747 of the family's 1478-position model. The record is from RNAcentral.
GUGCCAGCAGCCGCGGUAAUACCAGCUCUCCGAGUGGUGUGGACGUUUAUUGGGCCUAAAGCAUCCGUAGCUGGCUGAACAAGUCCCCUGUUAAACCCACCGAUUUAAUCGUUGGCUUGCGGGGGAUACUGCUCGGCUAGGGGACGAGAGAGGCAGACGGUAUUCCCGGGGUAGGGGUGAAAUCCUAUAAUCCCGAGAAGACCACCAGUGGCGAAGGCUGUCUGCUAGAACGCGCCCGACGGUGAGGGAUGAAAGCUGGGGGAGCGAACCGGAUUAGAAACCCUUGUAGUCC